AUGGACAACACGACGACCUUUUUCGCUUGGUGGGCUCUCGCGGCCGACACCUCGCCGAGCGGUCUGUGCAAAGGGCUGAACUCCAUCGUCGCUCUGAUCGCUUGGGCCAUCUGGAAGCACCGCAACACCGUCAUCUUCGAUGGCCUUCAACCCUCCACCGACGAUCUCGUGCUUUCCAUCCAAGAUGGCGCUCGCCUCUAG
RNAcentral lists this ribosomal RNA (201 nucleotides) under Triticum aestivum (bread wheat). Its description in RNAcentral is "partial small subunit ribosomal RNA". Lineage: Eukaryota; Viridiplantae; Streptophyta; Magnoliopsida; Poales; Poaceae. The record is from RNAcentral.